This 497-nucleotide ribosomal RNA is filed under the name uncultured bacterium. RNAcentral's name for it is "partial 16S ribosomal RNA". It matches the Rfam family "Bacterial small subunit ribosomal RNA", at positions 28 to 507 of the family's 1533-position model. The record is from RNAcentral.
GAUGAACGCUGGCGGCGUGCCUAAUACAUGCAAGUCGAGCGAACAGACGAGGAGCUUGCUCCUCUGACGUUAGCGGCGGACGGGUGAGUAACACGUGGAUAACCUACCUAUAAGACUGGUAUAACUUCGGGAAACCGGAGCUAAUACCGGAUAAUAUAUUGAACCGCAUGGUUCAAUAGUGAAAGACGGUUUUGCUGUCACUUAUAGCUGGAUCCGCGCCGCAUUAGCUAGUUGGUAAGGUAACGGCUUACCAAGGCGACGAUGCGUAGCCGACCUGAGAGGGGGAUCGGCCACACGGGAACUGAGACACGGUCCAGACUCCUACGGGAGGCAGCAGUAGGGAAUGUUCCGCAAUGGGCGAAAGCCUGACGGAGCAACGCCGCGUGAGUGAUGAAGGUCUUCGGAUCGUAAAACUCUGUUAUUAGGGAAGAACAAAUGUGUAAGUAACUAUGCACGUCUUGACGGUACCUAAUCAGAAAGCCACGGCUAACUACGUG